UGCCAGCAGCCGCGGUAAUACGGAGGGUGCGAGCGUUAAUCGGAAUUACUGGGCGUAAAGCGCGCGUAGGCGGCUUUGUAAGUCGGAUGUGAAAUCCCCGGGCUUAACCUGGGGUGGUCAUCCAAAACUGGAUAACUAGAGUAUAGUAGAGGGCAGUGGAAUUUCCGGUGUAGCGGUGAAAUGCGUAGAUAUCGGAAGGAACACCAGUGGCGAAGGCGACUGCCUGGACUGAAACUGACACUGAGGUGCGAAAGCGUGGGGAGCGAACAGGAUUAGAUA
This 279-nucleotide ribosomal RNA is filed under the name uncultured bacterium. RNAcentral's name for it is "partial 16S ribosomal RNA". It matches the Rfam family "Bacterial small subunit ribosomal RNA", at positions 506 to 784 of the family's 1533-position model. The record is from RNAcentral.